Molecule: ribosomal RNA, 405 nt
Filed under: uncultured bacterium
Lineage: Bacteria
Description: partial 16S ribosomal RNA
Rfam family: Bacterial small subunit ribosomal RNA
Source: RNAcentral
GACGAACGCUGGCGGCGUGCUUAACACAUGCAAGUCGAACGAAGUGGCGAACGGGUGUGUAAUACGUGGGUAACUGCCCUCCUUUUUGUGAUACGCCUUGGAAAUGGGGUCUAAUACCGAAUAAAGGGGGAUGGGUGGCGGCCUAUCAGUUGGUUGGUGGGGUAGUGGCCUACCAAGGCGACGACGGGUAGCCGGCCUGAGAGGGCGACCGGGAAAAUGGGACUGGGGUACGGGCCAAACUACUGCGGGAGGCAGCGGUGGGGGCUAUAGCACGAUCGGGCAAAGCCGGGUGCAGGAACGCCGCGUGGGGGAUGAUGGCCUUCGGGUUGUAAGCGGCUUACUGCGAUAACGCGGUAGUGGCAGAAGAAGCACCGGCUAACUACGUGCCAGCAGCCGCGGUAAUUC